GCGGCCUAUCAGCUUGUUGGUGAGGUAAUGGCUCACCAAGGCGACGACGGGUAGCCGGCCUGAGAGGGCGACCGGCCACACUGGGACUGAGACACGGCCCAGACUCCUACGGGAGGCAGCAGUGGGGAAUAUUGGGCAAUGGAGGGAACUCUGACCCAGCGACGCCGCGUGCGGGAUGAAGGCCUUCGGGUUGUAAACCGCUUUCAGCAAGGAAGAAGCGAAAGUGACGGUACUUGCAGAAGAAGCACCGGCUAACUAUGUGCCAGCAGCCGCGGUAAUACAUAGGGUGCAAGCGUUGUCCGGAAUUAUUGGGUGUAAAGAGUUCGUAGGUGGUUCGUUACGUCGGAUGUGAAAAUCUGGGGCUCAACCCCAGACCUGCAUUCGAUACGGGCGAGCUAGAGUUUGGUAGGGGAGACUGGAAUUCCU
Molecule: ribosomal RNA, 426 nt
Filed under: uncultured Actinomycetes bacterium
Lineage: Bacteria; Bacillati; Actinomycetota; Actinomycetes
Description: bacterial SSU rRNA
Rfam family: Bacterial small subunit ribosomal RNA
Source: RNAcentral